GGAGAGAGGAGGAUGCAGAGCACAGCACUUAGCCAACCUGCAAUGGACACGUAGAAAACCUCAAGAAAGGCUCUGGCCUAGACUUUCCCCUUGUUCCUGUCUUCUGGCUCUUGACUGACACUGGUGCUUUCCCCCUGUGGUCCUGCAUGGUGUGUGGUGACUACCUCAUUGGGCCCUAAAACUUCUAAAAUCAUCAGGAGAUAUCACUGAAAAGGUUUCAAAACAAAGCCAUAAUCUCUAGAAAUGUGUCCUUGAUGGGUUGGUCUUCAUUUGCCUGAAGAAAUUGAGGCUAAGUGAGCCAAGGAAAAGGUCAUCCAUCAAGAACAAAGCAAGAUUUCUCAACCAUGGCAGGACAUUAGGAUCAUCUGUAGAACUUUAAAAGAUGUUUAAUUUUUUUCAUUUGGUUUCCUUUAUAGUCGAUUUUGUUUAACUUUGCCAGUGAAAUUU
This 447-nucleotide long non-coding RNA is filed under the name Pan troglodytes (chimpanzee). RNAcentral describes it as "lincRNA". The record is from RNAcentral. Lineage: Eukaryota; Metazoa; Chordata; Mammalia; Primates; Hominidae.